RNAcentral lists this long non-coding RNA (3993 nucleotides) under Pelobates cultripes (western spadefoot toad). The record is from RNAcentral. Lineage: Eukaryota; Metazoa; Chordata; Amphibia; Anura; Pelobatidae.
UCCCUUCUGUGUAAUUGCCGGCACCCGCUUAGACAUCCCAGCGGGUGCCGAGCAGCUCUAUCUCCCUCUUUUCCCCUGCCGGGUUUACUUCCGCCCGGCGGUCUGAGGCCGCGGGGAGCUCUCUCCUCGCGGCCAUUACUGGAGGGGGGGUGGAGCAAGUUCGCCUUCGGCGCGCUUCUCUUCUCUGAAGCGCGGGAAGGCUGAACGGCUCCUAGUUGCUCCUGCUGCCCUCCGUGGGCAAGGUUGUACGGUUUCUAUUUUCCCAUAUUUGCUUCUAAGGGUUAAUCAACCCUUUUUCUCACUACCCUUCUCUUUGUUUGUUUGUUUGUAUCCUGUAAGUUUUUUCUGCAGUUUAGUCUGUAACUGACUGUGUGCUGGGGGUUUGUUUCUGGGUUAAUUUAAUUUAAAGACAUCUCUCCCAAUAAAUAAAAAAAAAAAAAAAUAAAAAAUAAAAAAAAAAUAAAAAAUAAUAAUAAUAAUAAUAAAGGAAAACCCUGUGGGAUUUAUCCAGACCUGUUGCUCCCUGCCUAGCACACAUAUUCAGUCAUUCCCAUUCAGUCAUUUCCAUUGGUUGCACACCUAUUCAGUCAUUCCCAUUGGUGAAUUGGAUAAUACAAUGCAAAAUCACGGGGAUGGACAUGGGGGCCCUGGAUGCCCUAAUAUAGAGAAUACCUUACCCACCCCUGGCCUAGACCCGGGUCUUUUACCCUCUCAGGAAUUCCAGUCUCUCCUGGAAUCAACUAUGGCCGGUUCGGUCCAGCGAGCCUUGGCUUCAGCCAUGGGCUCGGUGUCCACCUCCCUAUCCCAUUCUCUGGCCCAGGCACUCAUGUUGCCCCCUGAAGUGCAACCUACUAUAACGGCCCAAACUGAUAUACCAGUCCCUGCGGCCCGCAAGGCAAAAGCCAAGACUAAGCAUACAUCAACGCUCCCACUGAUGCAGGUCUCCCCUGCCAUGACUGACCCGCCUAUGGCGGUCGUGUUGCCACGCACAAGAGCCACUGGUCGGGCGCAAGCGGCCAGAAAUUGGAAACGGGCACGUGCCCAAUACGAAGAGUCAGAUUCUGACAAUAGUGAGGAGAUGGGGUCAGACGACCCGGAUUAUAUUUACAAUGCUAUGGCUUCUGACUCAGAUGAGGAGUCUAGUCCUGUAGUGGAACCGACGGGUGUGGAGGAUGGUGUUCGGGACCCUCAAGGGUAUCCCCUGUUCGACCCGGACAACCUCCGCCACCCUCGCUCGGCGGAGUGGGACCCGCCAACGCACAUUGCGCAGUAUUUGGCGCUCCGUCUGCGUACCCCUCUCUCUAACGAGAGUAGGAAUAAACUCCGGGCAGAGUGUCCCAGACCCUCCGUACCAGACAUGGCCUGCAAAACCCCCAUGGUGGACCCACAUAUCGCCCAAUUCCUCUCAAAAUCUGGCUGGAAGCCCAAGAAGGGGCUGGAGUUCUCACUCCACAGCUGUCAAGACAAAAUACUAGACACCCUGGGGCCAACCACAAAAUUAUAUGAAUUACUCGAAUCCGCUAAAGCGGGAGAGUCCACCAUUGAUUUCGAUGUAGCCAUCGGAUGGGUCCAACGGCUUAUCUGCUUGUUGGGUAAUGCCAACACAGCCAUCUCGGCGGAACGCCGUAAAUCAAUCCUACUUAAGAUUGAACCUAAGUUGAUUAACUUGGCAAAUAGAGAACCUGGACCCACAGCCCAGGGAAUGUUAUUUGGAGAGUCCUUUGUCAAGGACAUCGGGGCUUUUGUCAAAACUUUUACUACUUUAGAUAAGGCUCAGGCCAACCUUAAGAAAGUGUUUAACCCCAAGGUUUUGCACGGGGCCGGGAGAUCUAGGAGCCGUCCACCCGGCCGAGUCUAUCGGGGCCCCUCCAGGGCCCAUAGAGGCUCCUUCGGAGCGCCCCGCACGUACCAGGAGUUCCGUCCGUCACCCUUCUUUCCGUCCAGGGGACGUCCAUGGCCUUCUCGGGGAAGCCGCAGGCAAUCUACUUACAGGCGACCUUACGGUAAGUGCAAUAUCUCUCAUUCCUCCACAUCUACACAUAGGGGGCAGGCUCGCGCUGUUUGCGCAUGCAUGGGACGAGCUCACAAAAGACGCUUGGGUGUUACAAACCGUCAGGGGUUUCUAUCUCGACCUUUUAUCUACCCCAUUCCAAAUCCAUGCCCCAAGAGAACUGACACUGGCCCCAGACCAAACCAAACUCAUAACAAAGGAGAUUACAGAUCUCCAUGCCAAACGGGCAAUCCAAGAGAUCCCAUACGAUACACCAGGUUUUACCAGCAACUUAUUUUUGGUAGCCAAAAAAGGCGGAGGUAUGUGGCCAGUCAUAAACUUAAAGGAACUCAAUGCGUUCCUCGCAUACCAACACUUCAAAAUGGAGGGCAUUCAUUGCCUCAGAGAUUUACUACAACAGGGAGAUUGGAUGGUCAAAUUGGACCUCAAGGACGCGUACCUCACCGUCCCUAUUGCGGAGGCACACUGGGACCUCUUGCAUUUCACAUGGCUAGGGCGACGUUGGAGAUUUACAUGUCUGCCCUUCGGUCUCUCAUCGGCCCCCUGGUGCUUCACAAAACUCAUGAAGCCUGUGGUAGCCUUUCUCAGAGCACGAGGAAUUCGUCUGAUCAUAUAUCUGGACGAUAUUUUAAUCAUGGCAUCCUCACAAGACCAAGUACUGCUCCACCUACAGUGGACCAUCACGUUACUCGAGACUCUGGGCUUUUUGAUAAAUUGGGAAAAAUCCAUAACCAAUCCGGCCCAAAAGAUAGAGUUCCUGGGAUUCCAGAUCGACGCAAUCUCACAAUUCUUACUCCUCCCGGAAACGAAAUUGAAGGCCAUCAAAAAAGAGAUCAGGCGCACAUUACGAGCUCAAUCUCUCUCUAUUCGACAACUAGCUCGAGUCUUAGGACUACUGGCUUCCUCGAUACAAGCCAUCUUCCCAGGGCCUCUACACUAUCGUGCCCUACAGCGGCUAAAAGGUUCUCACCUCAGGUCCGGCCGUUCAUACGAAUCCGCACUAGUCCUGGAUGUGGAAUCACGGGAGGAGCUGAGGUGGUGGCUAGACCAUAUGGAGGCGUGGAACGGCCGAGCAAUAUUUGGAACCAGCCCGGACCUGAUUAUAGAAUCGGAUGCAAGCCUCCAUGGCUGGGGCGCGCGUUGUGGCAACAUAUCCACCGGUGGCAGAUGGUCCAUGGAGGAAUCCACAAUGCACAUAAAUUGCCUGGAACUUCUGGCAGGAUCGUUCGCCGUCCGCAGUCUCUCCCCUACGGUAGGGAGAUGUUGUAUACUGCUCCGUAUGGACAACAUCUCGGCAGUCCGUUAUAUCAAUCAUCUAGGAGGCACCAAAUCCAAACGACUAGCAAACCUAGCGAAAGAAUUUUGGCAGUUUUGCCUUCAGAACGAGAUUGCGGUGACAGCGGAACACAUUCCGGGCUUGGACAACGUACAAGCGGACUGGAAUUCCAGAUAUCUGAGAGAUCCGGGAGACUGGCGCCUUCUCCGCUCUACCUUUUGCCAAAUAGACGAAUUGUGGGGACCACUGGAUGUAGACCUUUUUGCAUCCAGACUGAACAGUCAUCUGCCUCGAUACUUCAGCUGGCGACCAGAUCCAACAGCCUCGGGGACGGAUGCUUUCCUGCAGACGUGGCCGAAGUCUCGACAUUACGCAUUUCCCCCUUUCAAUCUCAUUUCCAGGACACUAUCAUACCUAUGCACACAGGACUGUUCACUAGUGAUAGUGGUUCCACUAUGGCAUGCUCAGCCGUGGUUUCCUCGUCUACUAGAAAUGGCAAUCGACUCUCCACGAGUAAUACCAUCAACACCAGACUUGCUAUUGGAUCCAGAGGGGAAUCCGCACAACCUGAUCAAUCAGGGCUUGCUGCAACUCACGGUCUGGUUGAUUUCCGGAGUCCCUGGACGUUCACAGACAUUCCACAGACGGUUACAAGACUCAUGGAUAACUCCUGGGCUCCAGGGACCAGAGCAGCCUAUAACUCUGC